CCUACGGGAGGCAGCAGUGGGGGAUAUUGCACAAUGGGGGAAACCCUGAUGCAGCGACGCCGCGUGGGUGAAGAAGCGCCUCGGCGCGUAAAGCCCUGUCAGCAGGGAAGAAAAUGACGGUAACUGAAGAAGAAGCCCCGGCUAACUACGUGCCAGCAGCCGCGGUAAUACGUAGGGGGCAAGCGUUAUCCGGAUUUACUGGGUGUAAAGGGGGCGCAGACGGCGAUGCAAGCCAGGAGUGAAAGCCCGGGGCCCAACCCCGGGACUGCUCUUGGAACUGCGUGGCUAGAGUGCAGGAGGGGCAGGCGGAAUGCCUGGUGUAGCGGUGAAAUGCGUAGAGAUCAGGAGGAACACCGGUGGCGAAGGCGGCCUGCUGGACUGCAACUGACGUUGAGGCCCGAAAGCGUGGGGAGCAAACAGGAUUAGAUACCCUAGUAGUC
RNAcentral lists this ribosomal RNA (440 nucleotides) under uncultured bacterium. RNAcentral describes it as "partial 16S ribosomal RNA". It matches the Rfam family "Bacterial small subunit ribosomal RNA", at positions 338 to 795 of the family's 1533-position model. The record is from RNAcentral.